RNAcentral lists this ribosomal RNA (451 nucleotides) under uncultured bacterium. RNAcentral describes it as "partial 16S ribosomal RNA". It matches the Rfam family "Bacterial small subunit ribosomal RNA", at positions 354 to 796 of the family's 1533-position model. The record is from RNAcentral.
GUGGGGAAUAUUGGACAAUGGGGGGAACCCUGAUCCAGCCAUGCCGCGUGUGUGAAGAAGGCCUUUUGGUUGUAAAGCACUUUAAGCGAGGAGGAGGCUACCGAGAUUAAUACUCUUGGAUAGUGGACGUUACUCGCAGAAUAAGCACCGGCUAACUCUGUGCCAGCAGCCGCGGUAAUACAGAGGGUGCAAGCGUUAAUCGGAUUUACUGGGUGUAAAGCGCGCGUAGGUGGCCAAUUAAGUCAAAUGUGAAAUCCCCGAGCUUAACUUGGGAAUUGCAUUCGAUACUGGUUGGCUAGAGUAUGGGGGAGGAUGGUAGAAUUCCAGGUGUAGCGGUGAAAUGCGUAGAGAUCUGGAGGAAUACCGAUGGCGAAGGCAGCCAUCUGGCCUAAUACUGACACUGAGGUGCGAAAGCAUGGGGAGCAAACAGGAUUAGAAACCCUGGUAGUCC